This is a long non-coding RNA of Agrilus planipennis (emerald ash borer), 1829 nucleotides long. RefSeq lists it as uncharacterized. The record is from RefSeq and is a predicted model, not a curated record. NCBI's taxonomy places the organism in Eukaryota, Metazoa, Arthropoda, Insecta, Coleoptera, Buprestidae. The transcript has 5 exons.
GAUCAUAAAUGUAAACGUUAAGCAUUUACUUAGAAAUAUUGCUUUAAUUGUUAGAAAUUUACAUAGGUGAUUAAAAUAAGUAGUUAACGUCUUUCUUUUAAUGGGGACGAUUAGUUCCUUUUUAGGAAUUAAACUGAGGUAGUAUAAUUGAACGCACCUAUAGAAUCCAUAAUGCAUCCAUAAUAUAGAAAUAAUUUUUAUCUAUGGAUCUUCCUGUUGUCUAUCGUCUGUCAUCUCCUCACUCAUCCUGUCUGUAGACGCGACGUUUGCCGGUUAGUUGCUGUAUUGCUCUUCUUUAAUGGAAGCGAUGUUUGAAGGUAUUUAGCGCUAAUCUUUAUUUACUUUUGAUUUGAUUGUGUGAAAUACGCUUCUAUAAAUUUAUUUAGUGAUUAAUAUGUAUUCAUUACGGUUGCUUAGUUUUUAAGCAUGGAUAUUUUUUCGAUGGUGGGUUUCUGGUCCAACCUGCAACUUAGAGUCCAUCUUGGCAACUUGGUUAUCUACUCAUCUUUUGCGAAUUUUUGUAGAUUCUCAGUUUAUUUGAGACCGAGCAAUUAGGGUUUUAUUAGAGUUUUUAAAUUUUGAAAAUGAAUUUAGACGAUGUUUGCAGAUUAUUGAUAUUAAUGUGACCACGCCGCGGAGAAUUGUUUCGUUUUAUAGCUAAAACGUGUUAAGAUACUUCUCUAAAAUCUUAUUCUCCCUUCGUAAAUUUCUAUUUGAAAAAUUUUCAUUCUUGCCUUGUUAUUCUGUAGAUUGGGUCUUAACGAUUUGUUUUGUUUUUUCUACAAUAUAGACAUGACUUGGAGAUGGCGUUGUUGGAUUAGAUUGCCGAACAAUUUACGGAUGUAGUGUUUUUAGCAGUCAGACACUUAUUUUUUAUUUCCAAGAAUGCUUCCAGUGAGCUGGUCGAAAAAUUCUGUAGACAUCGGAUGUGAAUGAUGUUUCUAUUAAAAUUUAAUAAAUAAGCACAGAGAGGGCAAACCAAAAGGACUUCAAAACGUGAAGAUACAGAGCCCCAUUCAUGCUUUUUCUACUUGGUCUUAGAGAGGUGGCAUUCGUAUGAAGGGUCGUCAUUUCAGCAUAUAAAGGAACGUCGUCGAUAUGACAAAUAAGGGCUGGAUACUUGGAGAAGUACAGUGCUGUUAAUGUUGUCUCUCCUGGACCUGAGGAUCUUCUGUAGAAAAGGUUAUCAUUUAAAAUUAUUAAAUGAACAAGGAGACAAAAAACAAGAAGGAUUCCAAACAUGGAGAAGUGGAGCCCUGUUAAUGUUCCGUCCUUUUAGAUUUGAAAAGUGCAAUUUUUUGAGAACAAAUGAAGUCCAAUUCACAUUGAUGUAUUUAGGAAUAAAACUUGAGCAUCGUACAAUUAACCUCGAGAUCGUUCAAAUGGUGAGAAAGGAAGAAUUAAUGUUCAGAUUGAUGGUAUUGCAACAGCCAAUGUCUUGUCUUGAUUUGCUGUUUUCGUCUUCAACUUGCAACAUUAUGCAGUUAAUAUUCAACCGAUGAGUGUGAGCCAGAGAAGAUUUAUAUAAAUCUCACUGAAACAAGUUUUCUGCUAUGAUAUUCCUUCUGGAUUUAGUUUGCUUUUCACACAUGCAAACUUGGGAACUUUACAGUAGUCUACUGUUUGCUAAGGUGAGAAUAUUUAAUAUAAUUACUAUUAAUUGCUCUUUAUUAAUCUGUUACCACCGUAUCUGUUUCAGAUCGACGUUGGAGAAGACAAAGAUGACCCCGUAGUUAAAAUAGUUCUUUUGUCUUGCAUGCUCUACCAAAUAGAAAUAAUUCUUUUAGUCCAAAUUCAGAUUAAUUUUUUAUUUUGAAUGUUUUUUUUUU